UGGGGAAUAUUUCACAAUGGGCGCAAGCCUGAUGCAGCGACGCCGCGUUGGGGAUGACGGCCUUCGGGUUGUAAACUCCUUUCGCUAGGGACGAAGCUUUUUGUGACGGUACCUAGAUAAGAAGCACCGGCUAACUACGUGCCAGCAGCCGCGGUAAUACGUAGGGUGCGAGCGUUGUCCGGAAUUACUGGGCGUAAAGGGCUCGUAGGUGGUUUGUCGCGUCGUCUGUGAAAUUCCGGGGCUUAACUCCGGGCGUGCAGGCGAUACGGGCAUAACUUGAGUACUGUAGGGGUAACUGGAAUUCCUGGUGUAGCGGUGAAAUGCGCAGAUAUCAGGAGGAACACCGAUGGCGAAGGCAGGUUACUGGGCAGUUACUGACGCUGAGGAGCGAAAGCAUGGGUAGCGAACAGG
This 411-nucleotide ribosomal RNA is filed under the name Actinomycetes bacterium. RNAcentral describes it as "Actinobacteria bacterium partial 16S ribosomal RNA". It matches the Rfam family "Bacterial small subunit ribosomal RNA", at positions 355 to 776 of the family's 1533-position model. Lineage: Bacteria; Bacillati; Actinomycetota; Actinomycetes. The record is from RNAcentral.